AGCUUUGCACAUGGCUGUAUUAUAGCCAAUGAGGUUUAUCCGAGGCACAAUUAUUGCUAAUUGAAAAAAAAAACUAUCUCAAAGACCAAUAAUAAGCUGGGAAAAAUAAUUGUAACUCAUAAAACAUAAAGGA
Molecule: small nuclear RNA, 133 nt
Filed under: Zalophus californianus (California sea lion)
Lineage: Eukaryota; Metazoa; Chordata; Mammalia; Carnivora; Otariidae
Description: U4 spliceosomal RNA (ENSZCAG00015003200.1)
Rfam family: U4 spliceosomal RNA
About the family: U4 small nuclear RNA (U4 snRNA) is a component of the major U2-dependent spliceosome. The structure of U4 snRNA from yeast and human has been reported. U4 snRNA presents a k-turn RNA motif in the 5p-SL related to recognition of Snu13 protein.
Source: RNAcentral